AGAACGAACGCUGGCGGCAUGCCUAACACAUGCAAGUCGAACGCGUGUAGCGAUACACGAGUGGCGGACGGGUGAGUAACGCGUGGGAACCUGCCCUGGAGUGGGGGAUAACCGAUGGAAACGUCGGCUAAUACCGCAUACGACCUGAGGGUGAAAGAUUUAUCGCUCUAGGAGGGGCCCGCGUCGGAUUAGCUAGUUGGUGAGGUAAUGGCUCACCAAGGCUAUGAUCCGUAGCUGGUCUGAGAGGAUGAUCAGCCACACUGGGACUGAGACACGGCCCAGACUCCUACGGGAGGCAGCAGUGGGGAAUAUUGGACAAUGGGGGCAACCCUGAUCCAGCAAUGCCGCGUGAGUGAUGAAGGCCUUAGGGUUGUAAAGCUCUUUCGCCCACGACGAUGAUGACGGUAGUGGAGAGAGCCCGGCUAACUCGUGCCAGCAGCCGC
RNAcentral lists this ribosomal RNA (443 nucleotides) under uncultured bacterium. RNAcentral describes it as "SSU rRNA". It matches the Rfam family "Bacterial small subunit ribosomal RNA", at positions 26 to 518 of the family's 1533-position model. The record is from RNAcentral.